This 255-nucleotide ribosomal RNA is filed under the name uncultured bacterium. Its description in RNAcentral is "partial 16S ribosomal RNA". It matches the Rfam family "Bacterial small subunit ribosomal RNA", at positions 524 to 777 of the family's 1533-position model. The record is from RNAcentral.
UACAGAGGGGGCAAGCGUUUGUUCGGAAUUACUGGGCGUAAAGCGUGCGCAGGCGGUUUUGUAAGCCAGAUGUGAAAUCCCCGGGCUUAACCUGGGAAUGGCAUUUGGGACUGCAAGGCUCGAGUGCGGCAGAGGAGACUGGAAUUCCUGGUGUAGCAGUGAAAUGCGUAGAUAUCAGGAGGAACACCGAUGGCGAAGGCAGGUCUCUGGGCUGACACUGACGCUCAUGCACGAAAGCGUGGGGAGCAAACAGGG